This 1191-nucleotide ribosomal RNA is filed under the name Triticum aestivum (bread wheat). RNAcentral describes it as "partial small subunit ribosomal RNA". Lineage: Eukaryota; Viridiplantae; Streptophyta; Magnoliopsida; Poales; Poaceae. The record is from RNAcentral.
AUGGAUUUGAGUAGAAACAAUUUAAGUGGUGCCAUUCCAGCGACCUUUUCUAAUCUUCCCAGACAGGCUAUGCUGAUUUUAGCAUAUAAUAGUUUGACUGGCAAAGUUCCAUCUAUCACAGCCUCAAUCUUACUUGACCAUAAUAAGGAUUUAUGCGGUGAUUCCAAUCACUUAAUGCCAUGUGAAACACUGAAGCUCGACAUGAACCACCAAAGCAGAAAACAUCCACGUAUGGUACUUCUUGCGUUUUUUGCACCCUUUUCCUUCGCUUGCCUCUCAAUAGCAAGCAUCACGGUUAUUUGUAGGAGAAACAAGUGUUCAAAAAGUAAAAGGAAAAGCAAGUCUGGAGAUAUACUUUCUAUAUGGAAUUUCGAUGGGAAGAUCGCAUUCGAAGACAUACUCACUGCAACUGAAAAUUUCAAUGAGAAAUAUUGCAUUGGCAUUGGAGGCUAUGGAACUGUCUUCAGAGUCGAGCUCGAAGGCGGGGUUACCUUUGCCGUCAAGCUCCUGCAUUCAAUGGAAGAAUUCAACGACGAGGAAACAUUUCACGCUGAGAUUGAAGUGUUGACAAAAAUCAGGCACCGAUGCAUGGUCAAGCUGUAUGGCUUCUGUUCACACUCCCAAUGCAAAUUUCUUGUGUAUGACCUUAUUGAGAGGGGAAGCUUAUCAUCCAUUUUGCACGAGCAAGAGCUAGCAAAGGAGCUGGACUGGUCAAAUAGAAUUGCUAUUGUGGCGGACAUAGCUCAAGCUCUCUCCUAUUUGCAUCAUGAUUGCGAUGAUCCUAUUGUACACCGGGACAUAAAAAGCAGCAACAUUCUUCUGAACCGAGAUUAUAAAGCUUAUGUCUCGGACUUUGGCAUGGCGAGGAAGCUGAAGCAUGGUUGCUCAAGCUGGAGCACUAUCUUUGCAGGGACAUGUGGCUAUAUAGCCCCAGAAUUGUCAUCCACCAUGGUGUUGACCGAGAAGUGCGACGUGUACAGCUUCGGUGUGGUUGCGCUGGAAGUUGUGAUGGGAAAGCAACCAGGUGAUCUGCUCCUUCCGUUCUUCUGCCGAACAGAGCAGCCGAGGAAGUUCAACGAUAUCCUGGAUCGACGCAUCGCUGUGCCGUCAACCAUUCAUGAGGAGAAGGAUGUCAUUUUGGUUGUCUUGGUAAAAAAAUAUAUUGGCCUGUAUAUUUGUAUUUGUGUGUAG